This 253-nucleotide ribosomal RNA is filed under the name uncultured bacterium. Its description in RNAcentral is "partial 16S ribosomal RNA". It matches the Rfam family "Bacterial small subunit ribosomal RNA", at positions 524 to 776 of the family's 1533-position model. The record is from RNAcentral.
UACGAAGGGGGCUAGCGUUGCUCGGAAUCACUGGGCGUAAAGGGUGCGUAGGCGGGUCUUUAAGUCAGGGGUGAAAUCCUGGAGCUCAACUCCAGAACUGCCUUUGAUACUGAAGAUCUUGAGUUCGGGAGAGGUGAGUGGAACUGCGAGUGUAGAGGUGAAAUUCGUAGAUAUUCGCAAGAGCACCAGUGGCGAAGGCGGCUCACUGGCCCGAUACUGACGCUGAUGCACGAAAGCGUGGGGAGCAAACAGG